UAGUCUGAUGGAGCAUGCCGCGUGAGUGAAGAAGGGUUUCGGCUCGUAAAACUCUGUUGUUAAAGAAGAACACCUUUGAGAGUAACUGUUCAAGGGUUGACGGUAUUUAACCAGAAAGCCACGGCUAACUACGUGCCAGCAGCCGCGGUAAUACGUAGGUGGCAAGCGUUGUCCGGAUUUAUUGGGCGUAAAGCGAGCGCAGGCGGUUUUUUAAGUCUGAUGUGAAAGCCUUCGGCUUAACCGGAGAAGUGCAUCGGAAACUGGGAGACUUGAGUGCAGAAGAGGACAGUGGAACUCCAUGUGUAGCGGUGGAAUGCGUAGAUAUAUGGAAGAACACCAGUGGCGAAGGCGGCUGUCUAGUCUGUAACUGACGCUGAGGCUCGAAAGCAUGGGUAGCGAACAGGAUUAGAUACCCUGGUAGUCCAUGCCGUAAACGAUGAGUGCUAAGUGUUGGAGGGUUUCCGCCCUUCAGUGCUGCAGCUAACGCAUUAAGCACUCCGCCUGGGGAGUACGACCGCAAGGUUGAAACUCAAAGGAAUUGACGGGGGCCCGCACAAGCGGUGGAGCAUGUGGUUUAAUUCGAAGCUACGCGAAAGAACCUUACCAGGUCUUGACAUCUUCUGCCAAUCUUAGAGAUAAGACGU
RNAcentral lists this ribosomal RNA (644 nucleotides) under Levilactobacillus brevis. RNAcentral describes it as "bacterial SSU rRNA". It matches the Rfam family "Bacterial small subunit ribosomal RNA", at positions 379 to 1014 of the family's 1533-position model. Lineage: Bacteria; Bacillati; Bacillota; Bacilli; Lactobacillales; Lactobacillaceae. The record is from RNAcentral.